AUUUGUUUCAAGAAAGGGAGUAACUUACUUCAAAAUGUCAUUUUAAAAUUUUUAUUCUUUAAUGAUAUUCUGGUGUUAUUACCAAAUGUUUAGCAGUAUGAAACCUAUAAUAUUAUAUACCAUACUAUAUACCCUAUUUUACUUAUAAAGUUAAUAAUCUGUAAAGUAAUUUGUAAAAAAUUUUUAAUUGUAAAAUUGCUACAUGAGAAGACAAGUUGUUAGAUGAAAUUCAAAUAUUCUCUAUGUUUGUGUUGUGUAGGUCAAAAAAUAAUAAACAAAGAUGAUAUUGAUUGUGAUGACCAGGAGAUUCAUUUUAAGACACAUCAAUCUUCAUCAUCUUUAAAUAAAAAGGAUAAACAUUAUGGAUUUCCAUUAUCUCAAGCAAAAACAAAGAGUUCAAAAUAUUAGUAGUAAGAACUGUCAAAAACUUGUGAUAGCUAUGAUGAAGAGUUUGUGCAUCGACUUCUCACGAAUCAUACACAGAGUCGAUUGUCGAUGCAAUAAUUGCUGAUUCGUGAAAACGGGCAACUUUUGCUUGUCUUAAAGUGCCUUAAAUCCAUCGUUAUAAUAUUACUUUGUUUGUAAAUUGUUUUAAAAAAUAAAUUUAAAAAUAACUUUUAAAUAAA
Molecule: non-coding RNA, 626 nt
Organism: Hydra vulgaris (swiftwater hydra)
Lineage: Eukaryota; Metazoa; Cnidaria; Hydrozoa; Anthoathecata; Hydridae
Source: RefSeq, a predicted model, not a curated record